This 191-nucleotide ribosomal RNA is filed under the name uncultured bacterium. Its description in RNAcentral is "partial 16S ribosomal RNA". It matches the Rfam family "Bacterial small subunit ribosomal RNA", at positions 328 to 540 of the family's 1533-position model. The record is from RNAcentral.
ACGCUCGACACCUACGGGAGCCAGCAGUGGGGAAUAUUGCACAAUGGGGGAAACCCUGAUGCAGCGACGCCGCGUGGAGGAAGAAGGUCUUCGGAUUGUAAACUCCUGUUGUUGGGGAAAAAGAGGAUGGUACCCAACAAGGAAGUGACGGCUAACUACGUGCCGNNCGCGAGUAUNGNGGCGNGNGAGAG